RNAcentral lists this ribosomal RNA (509 nucleotides) under uncultured Comamonas sp. RNAcentral's name for it is "bacterial SSU rRNA". It matches the Rfam family "Bacterial small subunit ribosomal RNA", at positions 67 to 573 of the family's 1533-position model. Lineage: Bacteria; Pseudomonadati; Pseudomonadota; Betaproteobacteria; Burkholderiales; Comamonadaceae. The record is from RNAcentral.
CGGUAACAGGUCUUCGGAUGCUGACGAGUGGCGAACGGGUGAGUAAUACAUCGGAACGUGCCUAGUAGUGGGGGAUAACUACUCGAAAGAGUAGCUAAUACCGCAUGAGAUCUACGGAUGAAAGCAGGGGACCUUCGGGCCUUGUGCUACUAGAGCGGCUGAUGGCAGAUUAGGUAGUUGGUGGGGUAAAGGCUUACCAAGCCUGCGAUCUGUAGCUGGUCUGAGAGGACGACCAGCCACACUGGGACUGAGACACGGCCCAGACUCCUACGGGAGGCAGCAGUGGGGAAUUUUGGACAAUGGGCGAAAGCCUGAUCCAGCAAUGCCGCGUGCAGGAUGAAGGCCCUCGGGUUGUAAACUGCUUUUGUACGGAACGAAAAGCCUGGGGCUAAUAUCCCCGGGUCAUGACGGUACCGUAAGAAUAAGCACCGGCUAACUACGUGCCAGCAGCCGCGGUAAUACGUAGGGUGCAAGCGUUAAUCGGAAUUACUGGGCGUAAAGCGUGCGCA